GGUGUGCGCCCCCGGCGCUGGAGCAGCCGCGUUUCGGGGACCCGGGCAGGCGUGGGGGGCUGCGCUGAGCUCCAGGCCUCCUGCAGGUAGGGAUGCUUUGCUGACAGAUUCGGGCGUCCUCCCCUGAACGAAUGUCCUGGCGGGGCGUGCCCAGCCACCAUCCAGCUUCAGAGGCAAUGGCCGGGCGUCGUGAGAAGGGGAGGGAGAAGGAAGCGGAAGAGAGAGAGUUGGAAAGACUAGAGGAAGAGGUGGCCACGUCUUUUGCCAUCCCAGCUUUAAACUGCAGUGUUUAAGGCCUCGUCUGCCCUGCUAAGGUCACCGAACUUUUUACUUUAUGUGAAAAGUGCUUCCCAAGGGAGGCACAGGGACUCCGGUUCUGAAACCGAUUAAUGGUCUUAGAGCCCCCAGUAAGCCGUUACCAAAGUGUCCGGGUCACAGUUGCAGAGGAAGUGAGAAGCGUGUUCGACCUCAUUUGAAACGGCUUCACAGAGGGUAAACCUCAAGUUGAUUUUGUAAAAAGGAAAGCCUGUGGUUUGGCCGAGAAGAAUAAAUAAUAUAUUCUAGAUCCACGUGUAGUGACUUGGUUUGGGAAAAAAGAAUCCACAGGGAGAGGAACAGCGCAGAGGGUUCUGUGGUCUAUCGCCCAGGCUGGCUUGCAGAGAACGGAAUUCAAUCUAGUUAGUUUAAGCAGAAAGGGAUUUGCGGCAGGAUAUUAAGUGGUUUACAGACUCUUUGGGAAGACUGAAGGAUCAGAUUCCAGACUGAUCUUUUAAGAACACGACCCAAAGCCACCCUGAAGAACUAAAGAAUCUAAUGCCCCUCCUCGAAUUCAGCAGACACCAGUGGCGUAGGGAAACGGUGGCCACAGCUGCUAGCCCCAGAACCAUGCCACCUGCCCGGGUCGGAAACCACCAUGACAGGCAAUUGAUAUAGUCAAGAAACUCCCCCAAGCCGAAAGCUACUGCUAGUGCUGCCAACUCUAAAACCGUGACACCCCUGGCAUAACCCACACCAGCAAAUAGGUUCCCUGGGCAGUGCUUUUUAAUACUCCACAAAGCCAGUAAGUAGACACUGAGACCUCUCCUCCCGCUUUCAGAGCGAAACCAGGUACCUUCACAAUGGUGCUUGUCAGCAGAAUAUUAGAAACAUGCCUUCCUAAUCUCGCACUAAUUCUCCUGAAUAGUGGAAUCUAAAUCACCGUAGAACCCUAGAUGCAAGGGAGUUGGGGAAAUAUAGUAAAAACUCCAGCGUCCCAGCUCCUACAAUACAUGAAGGCAUGCUAGGAUGAUGUCAGCAUGGUUGCUGGUGACUCAAUCCGCAGUUCCCAUCACAGUCCUCCACCUGGUUACUCAACUCCCAUGCACUCCUCUCUUCUCAUACGUACACUUCCAAAUGGCAAUGAUUCCCCCUGCAGUAAAACAUGGAACUCACUUUCUUCCCAAAAUGGGGAAGUGCCAUGAGCCACUGCAUCCUGCUGUCACGGAGGUUCUAUGUUCUAGAUUCUGUCCUGGUGUUCAUUCGAGUUCAGUCAUAAUCCUCCCUUGAUAUCUUAUAACCCGUAGACCUAAUUAUAAAGUCACAUCUUAUAUAAAACACAUCCAAUAUAAAAUGUUAAGGGAAACGGGGAGGACAAAUAUAAAUUGACUAGGAUAGAGAAAAGAAGGAAAACAAUGCUAUUACAGUCCUCAUUUUUCCAAGGCUUGUGAGUCUGAGGUUGGACUGUUGAGCAUCCUUGCUUUAUCCUGGCAUGUAUUUCCUUUCACCAUAUCCGGCGCCUCUGCUGGUUAGUGCUCUUUAUCUAGUGGAGCAAUCUAAGUCUUUUUUCCUGAGAGGUCCUAUUUCUGUGUGGUCUUUCUUGUAUUGAGAUGCUGUAGUCUUCCACCAACUCUGUGAUUGGACAUACAGCCUUGCCUAUGAUUUUCCUUGAGGGGUUCUGCAGUGGCAUAUUCUGGCAGUGGUAUGUUCAGUCUUACAUUUUUAAAAUAAGACCUAACAUUUUAAAAUAAGACACCAUCGUAUCCUGAUUGGCUAUGGAUGCUUCCAGCACUAUUAGAUCUGUUACGGAUCCAAGUGGUGGUAAAGCUGCUUGCACAUGGCCUGAAAUUUUUGUUUUUGUUUUUUAAGACAGUCUCUCUCUGUCACCCAGGCUGGAGUGGCACAGUGGUGCAACCAUACCUCACUGCAGCCUUCAACUCCUGGGGCUCAAGAAAUCCUCUUGCCUCAGCAUCCUGAGAAGCUAGGACUAUAGGUGUAUGCCACCAUGCACCCAGCUAAUUAAAAAAAAUUUUUUUUGAGACAGAGUCAUGGUUUUUUUUUGCCCAGGCUUGUCUUGAACUUCUGGGUUCAAGCGAUCCUACUGCCUUGGCCCUCACAAAGUGCUGGGAUUAUAGGCAUGAGCUACCAUGCCUGGCCUGCCCUGGGAUUUUCUCAAAGCUGGCAGACUAAUGGGUUAUUCAGAAUAUGGGUCAGAGCUGCACACACACCCACAUACACACACACACACACACACACACACACACAGUACAUAUUGGUUCCCCAAUCCAGAGUCGUAUCAAGUGCUAUAGCUCUUUAUUAGCAGUAGGGGGUGCAAGAUUCAGAGAGAUAUCCCAUCGCUCACCAGAUCACUGGGCACAGCAAUUCUGCUGAGAGAGCAGGUUCUUGAAUUCUUGUGACACAACAUUCCACUCUUUGGCACACAUGUAGGCACAUAAUGUACUUGUUUCCGCUCACUAGGUGCAAUAAGAAUCGUAUUACUAAUGUGGUGUCCUCUGGAAUGGUCACAUGAACACAGUUCCCUGCAGAUGUAAUUGGGAGAGAAGGCACAGUCCUGACACAGGGUAAGACUGUGGAGGUGUAUUGCUGUCCCUACCAGGUAAAAUAAUAUUGCUUCUGGUGGUUUUAUUGGGAAAGAGACAACACAUUUACCAAACUGAUAGCUGCAUAUUGGGUGCUGGGGGCUGUGUUGAUUUGCUACAGUCAUAAAACUAUGUCUAGAACAAAAGCUGCAAUGGAAGCCAUCUAUUGACUAAAUUAACAGUGAACCCUUAUUAUCCUCCAACAGCCAUAUGUGUUCUACAUAGGUGAAGCAGGGGAGUUAAGUGGCCGUAAUAGGAAAUGUCAUCUCUACAUCUUUUUUGUUUGUUUGUUUUGUUUUUUUUUUUAGACAGAGUCUUACUCUGUCGCCCAGGCUGGGGGGCAGUGGCGUGAUCUUGGCUCACUACAAGCUCUGCCUCCUGGGUUCAUCCCAUUCUCCUCCUCAGCCUCCCGAGUAGCUGGAACUACAAGUGCCCGCCACCAAGCCCGGCUAAUUUUUUGUAUUUUUAGUAGAGACAGGGUUUCACUGUGUUAGCCAGGAUGGUCUUGAUCUCCUGACCUCAUGAUCCACCUGCCUCGGCCUCCCAAAGUGCUGGGAUUACAGGCAUGAGCCACCACGCCCGGCCAUCUCUACAUCUUUCAAGUCUUUGGCAGUUCAUUCAGGGAUGUGAUGUUGCUUUUGAUAACUCUUGAUAGGAAGAAGUGGUUCCAGGGUUUUCCACUUGCUCCUUCUUACCUAAAUAGUCCUCACUUCCUGGGCCAGGGAUGAGUGUGGGGAUUCUGUAGCUGGGUGUUUCUGCAUACAUUCAUAGAGUUUCUGCAUAGAGAGUGCUCUGCAUUCAGAAACCCAGGAAAUGCUACAGGAUAAGUUUAUAGACCUACAAGGUACAUCAUGAGAAGCACGUGAGCCAAAACUCCACUUAUCACUUGACUCCUAUAACCCCAACUCUGAAAGCAGAGUUCAAGCAACUGUUGCGUCACCUCUUGCUACAGAGCACCAGGGUCCCACCUUCUGAUGUGAAUGAGACCUCCUGUGCUUCAAGCCCAGCCAAGUCAGAUAACUUAGUGGUCUUCAAAUUUUUUUCUGCAUACACUCCUGAAGACAAUUUAGAAAAAAUUUAGAAAAAUAAUGUACCCUUCACCCACUUUUUUUUUUUCUGAGAUGGAGUCUCACUUUGUUGCCAGGAUAGAGUGCAGUGGCAGGAUCUUGGCUUACUGCAACCUCUGCCUCCUGGGUUCGAGCAAUUCCCCUGCCUCAGCCUCCCAAGUAGCUGGGACUACAGGCAUGCGCCACCACUCCUGGCUAAUUUUUGUAUUUUUAGUAGAGACAGCGUUUCACCAUGUUGGCCAGGAUGAUCUCAAUCUCCUGACCUCACCUUCACCCACUUUUUAACUUGACAUCUCACCUUUUCCUGAUAAGUGUAAAUAGUUGAAAUGGAUCACAGAACAUUAGAAGUUUAAAAAAAGCUAACAUGACAAAACCUAAGAAAGAGAUCUUUUUAUUGAAGAUCUGCCUGAUUCAUCUCUAUUAUGUUUUUACGUAGACUGGCUUCUGGUUGUGUACAUUUCCAACCUUAUUUCUUCUCUACUGUCCACACAUUCAUGGUGCUGGUCACCACAGAAAAUGAAUAUCACAGCAUGACUUCUGGUCCUCAGGACCGUGGGCAGAGGGAGUAUUUCUAGAAAUCAUUUUUACACUAGAGGGGCUAGCAAUAACAUAAUCAUAUGUGGAAGUUACUGCACCAGUAAAUACAUCCUCUGAAACCCCAACUAACUUGUUUAUCCCAAUUCAAUUAGUGGACUUUCAAAAGCACCCAUGGCCACUGCAAUGCCACCACACAUGGGGAGAAGAAAGACAAAGGGGAGUGUAAAAAGAGGUAUUAAUCCUUAAGGUUGAAAGGUCUUACUCUUGUAAAUUUUACUAAAAUAUGUGACCCAGAAGAGCCAUUUCUAGGCCUUGGGGGUGGCCUGUGCUAGUGAAAGCCUCUGAAGAUUGGGGUUUGUUAGCUACGGGGUGAAUCUACCGCUGCACUGUCAAUAGGGACAUUAUGAUAAAAAUGUCAUGUAACUUUGUGAAAAGUAUCCAUGGAGCCUAAACACUAUAAUGACAUGCUAUCCAUCAUCAUUUACUUUGAAAUAUUUGAACAAUCUCUUUAAUUUUCGAAAAUUUUUCAAAAUUUUGAAAAUUUGUCUUUUUACUCUUGAACAUAUAAAGUUCCAUUUCACUUUCUUCUUAGGAUUCCUUCAUAAUGUAAUGUGUGUGUGUGUGUGUGUGUAUGUAUAUAUAUAUUUUUAGACAGGGUCUCACUCUGUUGCUCCAGCUGAAGUACGUAGUGCAAUCACAGCUCACUGCAGCUUUGAACUCCUGGGCUUAAGCCAUCCUCCCACCUCAGCCUCCUGACCAGCUGGGGUUACAGACAUGUGCCACCACACCCAGCUAAUUGCUUUUUCAUUUCUUUUGUAGAGAUAGAGGGUCUCACUGUGUUUCCCACGCUGGUCUCGAACUCCUGGUCUCAAACAGUCCUCCCAUCUCAGCCUCCCAAAGUGCUGUGAUUAUAGGUGUGAGCCACUGUGCCCAGCCUAAUGUAUAUUUUUAACAGCUUUAUUAAGAUAUAAUUUAUCUAUUGUACAAUUCACAUAAGUAAAGUGUGCUAUUGAAUGGCUUUUAAUAUAUUCACAGACUUUUACAUCGUGACCACAAUAUAUGUUAGAACAUUUUUAUUUCAAAAGAAGCCCUACACCCCUCAGCUAUCACCCCGGCAAUUGUUCCAUCUCCCUCAACCCCACCCAGUUCUAGGUCACCAUUAAUUCACUUUCUGUCUCUAUGGAGUUGCUCACUCCAAGCAUUUAUAUGUAAAUGGAAUCAUGCAGUAUGCUAUCCUUUGAGACUGGCUUCCUUCAGUUACAAGGUUCAUCCUAUACUUACGCUUGAAACAUUUAUUAAUCACCCUUUUCUGCAACCAAAAAUGUAUGUGAAUCGAAAUUGUAAAGUGUUCUUUAUUUCCUGCCACCAAAAGACUUUAGGAAUUUAAAGUAUUUUCUGGGUCAUGAUUACAAUGGUUGUUAUCAUGCAACUUAUGAAAACAACAUAAAUGUUAUAAACGUUGCUAAAAAAAUUGUGUUAAUUCAAAGAGUGAAAUUUUAUUGGAAAUGUCUCACUUACAUGAUGAGUUUUUAAAAUUUUCUCUGUCUUUCUCUCUCUCGGGAUCUCACUUUGCUGCCCAGCCUGGAGUGCAGUAGUGUAAUCUCGGCUCACUGCAGCCUCAAACUUCUGGGCUCGAGCGAUCCUCUCACCUCAGCCUCCUGAGUAGCUGGGACUACAGGAGUUCGAGAGCAACCUGACCAACAUGUGAAACCCCGUCUCUGCUAAAAAUACAAAAUUAGCUGGGUGUGGUGGUGCACGCCUGUAAUCCCAGCUAUUCGGGAAGCUGAGGCAGGAGAAUUGCUUGAACCUGGGAGGUGGAGGUUGCAGUGAGCCGAGAUCACGCCAUUGCACUCCAGCCUGGGCAACAAGAGUGAAAUUCCAUCUCGAAAAAAAAAAAAAAAAAAUGAGCCGGGCUUGGUGGUGCACGCCUGUAGUCCUGGCUACUUGGGAGGCUGAUGCGGGAGGAUCGCUCCCAGUCCAGGAGGUUGAGGCUACCUUGAGCUAUGCUUGCACCACUAUACUCUAGCCUGGGCCACAGAGUGAGACUUGGUCUCUAAAAAAACAAAAAUUAAUUAAUUAAAAAUAAAAUAAGAUAAAAAAUUAAAAACAAAGACCAUAAAUGCCAUGAGUUAUGUUUGUUUUUUCUAAAAUUUUAUUCCCAGCAUAGGGAAUAAAUGCAGAAGAGGUGCUUCAUAAAUAUGUACUGAAUUAACAGAUAAAACGAGGGUUCAUAAUAAGAACCUAGACUCCUUGGAGGGUCCAUGAGAAGGUUUUUCUUUGUGUCUGCGUGACAAAUUGUCAGUCCCAGGAUGGUGCCAGAAGUAAAGUUGGGUCAUUGGAGGGUGACUUUGACAACGUCUGACAUCUGCAGAGAAGAGGCAGAUGUUUCGAUCACCUAGCCGACACUGUUCAUGACGUCAAAGGCCACGGUGGCUUUACAGCUACAAUCUCAACAGCAACAAGAAUUUAAUGAGGGCCGAUUAUGUGCAAGAUACUAUAGUAAGUGCUUAAUAUUCAUUAUCUCAUGUAAUCCUUACAAUAGGCCUUGGGGUAGCUUUUAUUAUUCCUAUUUAUAAGUGAGUAAACGUUGUCUCAGGUAGGUAAGUGACCAACCCAAGGUCCUUGGAUUAGAGCCUAGUUGAAUUUUCACUUGAGCCAUUUACUCUGGCCACAGAAUAGGAACAUUGGAAGGAAAUCCAGAGGACUUGGUGAUAUGGUUUGGAUCUAUGUCCCCACCCAAAUCUCAUGCUCAAUUGUAAUCCCCAAUAUUGGAGGUGGGGCCUGGUGGGUGGUGAUUGGAUCACAGGGCUGGUUUCUCAUGGUUUAGCAUUUGGUACUGUAUAGUGAGUGAGUUCUCAUGAGGUCUGGUUGUUUAACAGUGUAUGGCAUUUCCCCCUCCUUCUUCCUCCUGCUCUGGCCAUGUGAGGUGUCUGCUUGCCCUUUGCCUUCCACCAUGUCUGUAGGCUUCCUGAGGACUCUCCAGAAGCCAAGCAGAUGCUGGCACCAUGCUUCCUGUACAGUCUGCAGAACUGUGAGCCAAUUAAAUCCCUUUUCUUUAUAAAUUGCCUAGUCUCAGGUAUUUCUUUAUAACAGUGUGAGAACAGACUAAUAUGCUUGGGCUCUGGACCCAGCUCUGCUGCUGCCUGCCCUGGCUUGGUGGACGUCGCCAGCCUCUCUCCUGCCCUGCCCACAAAGAGAAGUGUACUUCCCAGCCACUGCUCGGGGACAGUCACGCGGCCAACUCUGCCCAACAGGCAGUGAGUGGAGAUGACUUGUGCUCUGUGUGGGUGAAGCACUUUGAUCGCUGGUCGCCUCCUUUUCUCUCACCGUGAGACGGAGGAGACACGUGUUCGCCAGCCUCCCAGAUGAGAAGGCCGUGUGCUUUGAUGCUGUGGCUGUAAGAUGAAAGAGCCUCCAUCCUAGGUCCCAAACAGGGCUGUAGAGCAGAAUUUUGUGCAACUCAUGUUGGAUACCAUGUGAGCAAGAGCACACGUGUAUGUUGAGGCACUGGGAUUUUAGGAUUGUUUGUCAACAUAGGUAACCCAGGUUAUUGUGACUAAUGCAUUUGAUCCACUCUUGUUAAUCCUCUAAGUAUCGGUUUUGCCAUCUGUAACUGAUGAUAAUAAUAUCUAUCAGCCAGCUAUCUGGGGGCUGUUAAAAGAGAUAAGGGAGGAAAUGGUUCCCUCCAGGUCUAACAUUCUCCAGAACCAUCUAGCUUAGUGAAAUGGCAUGCUCUAAAAAUAGAGUUUUCUUCAUGACCAUUGUAUUAUGUGCUUAAGGUCUUAAGAUCUGACCCUCUGUAUUCGCAGAUUUGAUGACAAAGAGCCGGAACUAGAGAUGUCCAGGGCUUCCUGUGGCUUUGGGUUGGGAUUUUUCCAAGCUUCUGUCAGAGGUCAAUUCUGUUAUUUUGAGAAAGGUGUUGCAGUGAGCCUUGUUUUUGUCUCUCCCUACCCUUGUAAUGCAAAAUAUGGGAGGUAUAGACCAUUCCCAAAGCUGCCCUGUGGGUUAUUAAAUAGUGACUGCAGUCAGGGCUGGUGUGGAAGACAUUUCGCAAGCUCCCUAAUAUUUUUAUUCUCCCCUUCUUGGACAUAACGGAGGAUUACAUUUCUCCAACUUCCCAGAGCCUUGCUUUGGCUAAUGAGAUGGGAGUGGCAGGGACACAGGUCACUUUUGGGUGGAGGCAUGGAAGAGCUGCUGGGAGACUUCUAUGUUCUCUCUACCCACAGCAGUGAACUUGAAGACUGUCUGGGGAGAUGGCCAUGACCUCAGAUGGUGAAACUCUGUCAGCCGAAGUCUCUGACUGGCUGAGGUGAGCAGAGCACCCUUCUGCAGAACAGCUGUGGACAUGUGGUGUAGGCAGGAAGUCAACCAUUGUUGUUUUGAGCCAUGGAGAUUUGGCCAUUGGUUCCUAUUGCAGAAUAAAUUAGUUUGAACUGGCUAAUUCCAUUAGGACUGAGACAAAAUAGCAAUAUUAGACCUCUGGACUGGGAGGCAGCAGUCUUGGAUUUUAGGUCUCACUGGGGGAACCAUGGACUUGGUCUCCCUGGGCUUCAGCUUCCUCAUCAGUACAUAAAGGGAAAUGAACUACAUUUUCUCUCAAUCAUCUGAUGAUUCUAAUAGUUUCUCUAUUUGUCUCUCUCUCUCUCUCUUACUCUUUUCCUCUCCUUCUCUCAUCCAUCCACUCACCCUUCCACCUAUCCAUCCAUCCGUCCAUCCAUCCAUCCACCCAUCCACUCAUCCAUCCACCCAUCCACUCAUCCAUACACCCAUCCACUCAUCCAUCCAUCCACCCACCCAUCCACUCACCCAUCCAUCCACCCACCCACCCAUCCAUCCAUCCACCCAUUCAUCUACCCACCCAUCCGUUCACCCAUGUACUCAUCCAUCCAUCCAUCCACCCACCAGUCCACUCAUCCAUCCACCGACCCACCCAUCCAUCUACCUAUCCACUCAUCCAUCCACUCUUCCACCCACCCAUCAGUUUAUUCUUCUAUUUACCCAUCCUUCCAUUCACCCAUCCACACACCCAUCAAUCCCUCUAUCUCUUUAUUUAUUCAUCCAUCCUUAUUCUAAAGACCAAAGCAAGUGACUGAAUCAUGAUAUUUUCACAAAAUUCAACUAAUAUUUUACUUAAUUAACAUCGUAUGCAAAAGUUACCUUAAAAGAAGAAAGCAAACUUAUCAUGAACUUUUCCUUAGAUGACAUUAUUUCUGAGAGGAAGAAGAAUCCAACAUUUUCAUUGUGAGAAAACCUUUUGUUUCUAAGGUGGGCCUUGCUUCAUUUUGUUUGCACAUAGAAAGAAUAAGGAGCUCUUGAGUUGGGGUCAGACAGCUGGAAAAGAUAUUUAAUCAAACAUAUUCUAAUCAAAAUAGUUUUGCUUCCCUUCUUACAUCAAUUUACUGACUCAAAAAUAAACUUCCUCUUAUUGAAACUUGAUUCCUGACAGAUGGAGAAAAAGGGGUAGGAACCUGGAGAAAAGAUCACAACUGAGUGACUUGGCAACCUCGUGGUGAGAGUCUCCAUCCAAAAGGGCAAGCAGGCAAGAAAAUGAGAAUAAGAUUUACAGGAGAAAUUUAUAUCAUGAAAGCAAAGAUUGGUGCAAACCCACGUGUAUAACACUUUAAGGAAUCUGGCAA
This 10095-nucleotide long non-coding RNA is filed under the name Homo sapiens (human). RNAcentral's name for it is "non-protein coding lnc-GMDS-6:15". Lineage: Eukaryota; Metazoa; Chordata; Mammalia; Primates; Hominidae. The record is from RNAcentral.